AUUCCUACGGGAGGCAGCAGGGGGGAAUAUUGGACAAUGGGCCACAAGCCUGAUCCAGCAAUUCUGUGUGCACGAUGAAGGUCUUCGGACUGUAAAGUGCUUUCAGUUGGGAAGAAGAAAGUGACGGUACCAACAGAAGAAGCGACGGCUAAAUACGUGCCAGCAGCCGCGGUAAUAAU
This 179-nucleotide ribosomal RNA is filed under the name uncultured bacterium. RNAcentral's name for it is "partial 16S ribosomal RNA". It matches the Rfam family "Bacterial small subunit ribosomal RNA", at positions 335 to 527 of the family's 1533-position model. The record is from RNAcentral.